RNAcentral lists this ribosomal RNA (781 nucleotides) under uncultured bacterium. RNAcentral's name for it is "bacterial SSU rRNA". It matches the Rfam family "Bacterial small subunit ribosomal RNA", at positions 61 to 834 of the family's 1533-position model. The record is from RNAcentral.
GUCGAGGGGCAGCAUUGGAGUAGCAAUACUUCAGAUGGCGACCGGCGCACGGGUGAGUAACACGUAUCCAACCAGCCGCUUACUCGGGGAUAGCCUUUCGAAAGAAAGAUUAAUACCCGAUGGUAUAAAGAGUUCGCAUGUUCUCUUUAUUAAAGAAUUUCGGUAAGCGAUGGGGAUGCGUUCCAUUAGAUAGUUGGCGGGGUAACGGCCCACCAAGUCUACGAUGGAUAGGGGUUCUGAGAGGAAGGUCCCCCACAUUGGAACUGAGACACGGUCCAAACUCCUACGGGAGGCAGCAGUGAGGAAUAUUGGUCAAUGGACGAGAGUCUGAACCAGCCAAGUAGCGUGAAGGAUGACUGCCCUAUGGGUUGUAAACUUCUUUUAUAAGGGAAUAAAGUGAGGGACGUGUCCCUUUUUGUAUGUACCUUAUGAAUAAGGAUCGGCUAACUCCGUGCCAGCAGCCGCGGUAAUACGGAGGAUCCGAGCGUUAUCCGGAUUUAUUGGGUUUAAAGGGAGCGUAGGUUGACAUAUAAGUCAGCUGUGAAAGUUUACGGCUCAACCGUGAAAUUGCAGUUGAUACUGUAUGUCUUGAGUGUACAAGAGGUGGGCGGAAUUCGUGGUGUAGCGGUGAAAUGCUUAGAUAUCACGAAGAACUCCAAUUGCGAAGGCAGCUCACUGGGGUACAACUGACACUGAGGCUCGAAAGUGUGGGUAUCAAACAGGAUUAGAUACCCUGGUAGUCCACACAGUAAACGAUGAAUACUCGCUGUUUGCGAUAUAC